RNAcentral lists this ribosomal RNA (480 nucleotides) under uncultured bacterium. Its description in RNAcentral is "bacterial SSU rRNA". It matches the Rfam family "Bacterial small subunit ribosomal RNA", at positions 8 to 526 of the family's 1533-position model. The record is from RNAcentral.
AGAGUUUGAUCCUGGCUCAGAACGAACGCUGGCGGCAUGCUUAACACAUGCAAGUCGAACGUGAUCCGGUUUCGGCCGGUGAAAGUGGCGGACGGGUGAGUAACGCGUGGGAACCUGCCCAAUGGUAGGGGAUAACUGCGGGAAACUGCGGCUAAUACCCUAUGUGUCCUGAGGGAGAAAGAUUUAUCGCCAUUGGAGGGGCCCGCGUCGGAUUAGGUAGUUGGUGGGGUAACGGCCUACCAAGCCUACGAUCCGUAGCUGGUCUGAGAGGAUGAUCAGCCACACUGGGACUGAGAUACGGCCCAGACUCCUACGGGAGGCAGCAGUGGGGAAUAUUGGACAAUGGGGGCAACCCUGAUCCAGCAAUGCCGCGUGAGUGAAGAAGGCCUUAGGGUUGUAAAGCUCUUUCGCACGCGACGAUGAUGACGGUAGCGUGAGAAGAAGCCCCGGCUAACUCCGUGCCAGCCGCCGCGGUAAUAC